RNAcentral lists this ribosomal RNA (773 nucleotides) under uncultured bacterium. RNAcentral describes it as "bacterial SSU rRNA". It matches the Rfam family "Bacterial small subunit ribosomal RNA", at positions 98 to 874 of the family's 1533-position model. The record is from RNAcentral.
GCGGACGGGUGAGUAACGCGUGGAGAACCUGCCGUAUACUGGGGGAUAACACUUAGAAAUAGGUGCUAAUACCGCAUAAGCGCACAGCUUCGCAUGAAGCAGUGUGGAAAACAAAAAGCUAAAGCUUUUGGUGGUAUACGAUGGAUCCGCGUCUGAUUAGCUGGUUGGCGGGGUAAAGGCCCACCAAGGCGACGAUCAGUAGCCGGCCUGAGAGGGUGAACGGCCACAUUGGGACUGAGACACGGCCCAAACUCCUACGGGAGGCAGCAGUGGGGAAUAUUGCACAAUGGGGGAAACCCUGAUGCAGCGACGCCGCGUGAGUGAAGAAGUAUUUCGGUAUGUAAAGCUCUAUCAGCAGGGAAGAAAAUGACGGUACCUGACUAAGAAGCCCCGGCUAACUACGUGCCAGCAGCCGCGGUAAUACGUAGGGGGCAAGCGUUAUCCGGAUUUACUGGGUGUAAAGGGAGCGUAGACGGCAGCGCAAGUCUGGAGUGAAAUCCCAUGGCUUAACCAUGGAACUGCUUUGGAAACUGUGCAGCUGGAGUGCAGGAGAGGUAAGCGGAAUUCCUAGUGUAGCGGUGAAAUGCGUAGAUAUUAGGAGGAACACCAGUGGCGAAGGCGGCUUACUGGACUGUAACUGACGUUGAGGCUCGAAAGCGUGGGGAGCAAACAGGAUUAGAUACCCUGGUAGUCCACGCUGUAAACGAUGAUUACUAGGUGUUGGGGGACCAAGGUCCUUCGGUGCCGGCGCAAACGCAUUAAGUAAUCCACCU